Molecule: ribosomal RNA, 461 nt
Filed under: uncultured bacterium
Lineage: Bacteria
Description: partial 16S ribosomal RNA
Rfam family: Bacterial small subunit ribosomal RNA
Source: RNAcentral
GACGAACGCUGGCGGCGUGCUUAACACAUGCAAGUCGAACGGAAAGGCCCUUCGGGGUCCUCGAGUGGCGAACGGGUGAGUAACACGUGGGUGAUCUGCCCUGCACUUUGGGAUAAGCCUGGGAAACUGGGUCUAAUACCGAAUAGGACCACGCGCUUCAUGGUGUGUGGUGGCAAGCUUUGCGGUGGGGGAUGGGCCCGCGGCCUAUCAGCUUGUUGGUGGGGUAAUGGCCUACCAAGGCGACGACGGGUAGCCGGCCUGAGAGGGUGACCGGCCACACUGGGACUGAGAUACGGCCCAGACUCCUACGGGAGGCAGCAGUGGGGAAUAUUGCACAAUGGGCGCAAGCCUGAUGCAGCGACGCCGCGUGAGGGAUGACGGCCUUCGGGUUGUAAACCGCUUUCAAUAGGGACGAAGCGCAAGUGACGGUACCUAUAGAAGAAGCACCGGCCAACUACGUG